This 274-nucleotide ribosomal RNA is filed under the name uncultured bacterium. RNAcentral's name for it is "partial 16S ribosomal RNA". It matches the Rfam family "Bacterial small subunit ribosomal RNA", at positions 523 to 796 of the family's 1533-position model. The record is from RNAcentral.
AUACAGAGGGUGCGAGCGUUAAUCGGAAUUACUGGGCGUAAAGCGCGCGAAGGCGGCUUAUUAAGUCAGAUGUGAAAUCCCCGGGCUCAACCUGGGAACUGCAUCUGAUACUGGUAAGCUAGAGUUUUGGAGAGGGAAGUAGAAUUUCAGGUGUAGCGGUGAAAUGCAUAGAGAUCUGAAGGAAUACCAGUGGCGAAGGCGACUUCCUGGCCAAAAACUGACGCUGAGGUGCGAAAGCGUGGGUAGCAAACGGGAUUAGAAACCCCGGUAGUCC